This 380-nucleotide ribosomal RNA is filed under the name uncultured eukaryote. Its description in RNAcentral is "partial 18S ribosomal RNA". It matches the Rfam family "Eukaryotic small subunit ribosomal RNA", at positions 592 to 976 of the family's 1831-position model. The record is from RNAcentral.
CAAUAGCGUAUAUUAAAGUUGUUGCGGUUAAAAAGCUCGUAGUUGGAUUUCUGCUGAGAACGACCGGACCGCCCUUUGGGUGUGUAUCUGGCUCUUUCUUGGCAUCUUCUUGGUGAACGUUGCUGCACUUGACUGUGUGGAGCACUACCCAGGACUUUUACUUUGAGGAAAUUAGAGUGUUUCAAGCAGGCAUACGCCUUGAAUACAUUAGCAUGGAAUAAUAAGAUAGGACCUCGGUUCUAUUUUGUUGGUUUCUAGAGCUGAGGUAAUGAUUAAUAGGGAUAGUUGGGGGCAUUCGUAUUUAACUGUCAGAGGUGAAAUUCUUGGAUUUGUUGAAGACGGACUACUGCGAAAGCAUUUGCCAAGGAUGUUUUCAUUGA